UACGUAGGGUGCAAGCGUUUGUCCGGAAUUAUUGGGCGUAAAGAGCUCGUAGGCGGUUUGUCGCGUCUGCUGUGAAAACCCGAGGCUCAACCUCGGGCCUGCAGUGGGUACGGGCAAACUAGAGUGCGGUAGGGGAGAAUGGAAUUCCUGGUGUAGCGGUGGAAUGCGCAGAUAUCAGGAGGAACACCGAUGGCGAAGGCAGUUCUCUGGGCCGUAACUGACGCUGAGGAGCGAAAGCAUGGGGAGCGAACAGG
RNAcentral lists this ribosomal RNA (254 nucleotides) under uncultured bacterium. RNAcentral describes it as "partial 16S ribosomal RNA". It matches the Rfam family "Bacterial small subunit ribosomal RNA", at positions 524 to 776 of the family's 1533-position model. The record is from RNAcentral.